CGAACGGCUCCGUAUAUCUGUUGUCACCUAUCGUGGUAAAUAUGGCGUGGAUAGAGCACGGAAAAGCUGUGUAUAACACAGAACAGUGGGGUCACCGCUGCCCGUUGGCAUGGGUAGGGGGGGUAAGUGGGCCCAUAUGUAUGGGCCUCACCUCAUGAACGGCUCUCAAAGUACUCCGGGCCUAAACAUCCUGGGAGGAAACAGAGGCCUCUGCUACCGGACACAGUUACCGAGCGCCCUGCGGGGUUGGUCUUGUCUGGGUACCCGGCAGAGCCCAUCCACAAGCGCACGAUGGACUUCAGACCUAUCAGCUAGACGGUAGGGUAUUGGCCUACCGUGGCGAUGACGGGUACAGAGGAUUAGGGUUUGAUCCUGGAGAGGUAGCCUGAGAAAUCGCUCCCACUUCUAAGGAAGGCAGCAGGCGCGUAACGUUCCCAAUGCUAGUACCCCUAGUGAGGACGUAAUGGGACAUAACAAUACCCCUAUUGGAUAGUGGGUAAUUGACAAUGGGGCGGGCAUAAACACCCUGCCGAGAAGCAACUGGAGGACAAGUCUG
RNAcentral lists this ribosomal RNA (556 nucleotides) under uncultured Lycogala. RNAcentral's name for it is "partial 18S ribosomal RNA". It matches the Rfam family "Eukaryotic small subunit ribosomal RNA", at positions 90 to 563 of the family's 1831-position model. The record is from RNAcentral. Lineage: Eukaryota; Evosea; Eumycetozoa; Liceales.